GCCGUUGGGAGACUUGAUCUCUUAGUGGCGCAGUUAACGCGAUGAGUAGACCGCCUGGGGAGUACGGCCGCAAGGUUAAAACUCAAAUGAAUUGACGGGGGCCCGCACAAGCGGUGGAGCAUGUGGUUUAAUUCGACGCAACGCGAAGAACCUUACCAGGUCUUGACAUCCUAGAAACUUAGCAGAGAUGCUUUGGUGCCUUCGGGAAUCUAGUGACAGGUGCUGCAUGGCUGUCGUCAGCUCGUGUCGUGAGAUGUUGGGUUAAGUCCCGUAACGAGCGCAACCCUUGUCCUUAGUUGCCAGCACGUAAUGGUGGGAACUCUAAGGAGACUGCCGGUGACAAACCGGAGGAAGGUGGGGACGACGUCAAGUCAUCAUGGCCCUUACGACCUGGGCUACACACGUGCUACAAUGGCCAGUACAGAGGGCUGCAAGCCCGCGAGGGGGAGCUAAUCUCACAAAGCUGGUCGUAGUCCGGAUCGCAGUCUGCAACUCGACUGCGUGAAGUUGGAAUCGCUAGUAAUCGUGAAUCAGAAUGUCACGGUGAAUACGUUCCCGGGCCUUGUACACACCGCCCGUCACACCAUGGGAGUAGGUUGCAAAAGAAGUAGCUAGGCUAACCUUCGGGAGGCCGGUUACCACUUUGUGAUUUAUGACUGGGGUG
Molecule: ribosomal RNA, 664 nt
Filed under: uncultured marine bacterium
Lineage: Bacteria
Description: bacterial SSU rRNA
Rfam family: Bacterial small subunit ribosomal RNA
Source: RNAcentral